GCCUGGGUGGCUCAGUCGGUUGAGCGUCCGACUUCGGCUCAGGUCAUGAUCUCACGGUCUGUGGGUUCGAGCCCCGCGUCGGGCU
Transfer RNA from Felis catus (domestic cat), 85 nucleotides. It matches the Rfam family "tRNA". From Rfam's summary of the family: Transfer RNA (tRNA) molecules are approximately 80 nucleotides in length. Lineage: Eukaryota; Metazoa; Chordata; Mammalia; Carnivora; Felidae. The record is from Rfam.